This 845-nucleotide ribosomal RNA is filed under the name Chloridium virescens var. caudigerum. Its description in RNAcentral is "partial large subunit ribosomal RNA". It matches the Rfam family "Eukaryotic large subunit ribosomal RNA", at positions 65 to 943 of the family's 3401-position model. Lineage: Eukaryota; Fungi; Ascomycota; Sordariomycetes; Chaetosphaeriales; Chaetosphaeriaceae. The record is from RNAcentral.
CCAACAGGGAUUGCCUUAGUAACGGCGAGUGAAGCGGCAACAGCUCAAAUUUGAAAUCUGGCCUAUGGUCCGAGUUGUAAUUUGCAGAGGAUGCUUCGGGCGCGGUGCCUUCCAAGUCCCCUGGAACGGGGCGCCGGAGAGGGUGAGAGCCCCGUACGGUUGGCGGCCAAGCCUGUGUGAAGCUCCUUCGACGAGUCGAGUAGUUUGGGAAUGCUGCUCUAAGCGGGAGGUAGACCCCUUCUAAAGCUAAAUACCGGCCAGAGACCGAUAGCGCACAAGUAGAGUGAUCGAAAGAUGAAAAGCACUUUGAAAAGAGGGUUAAACAGCACGUGAAAUUGUUGAAAGGGAAGCGCUUGUGACCAGACGUGCGCCGGGGUGUUCAGCGGGCGUUCUCGCCCGUGCACUCGCCCCGGUGCAGGCCAGCGUCGGUUUGGGUGGGGGGAUAAAGGCGUCUGGAAUGUGGCUCCUCCGGGAGUGUUAUAGCCAGACGUGCCAUGCCUCCGCCUGGACCGAGGUACGCGUUCUGCAAGGACGCUGGCGUAAUGGUCUCCAGCGACCCGUCUUGAAACACGGACCAAGGAGUCGAGGUUUUGCGCGAGUGUUUGGGUGGAAAACCCGCACGCGUAAUGAAAGUGAACGUAGGUGAGAGCUUCGGCGCAUCACCGACCGAUCCUGAUGUUUUCGGAUGGAUUUGAGUAAGAGCGUAGGGCCUCGGACCCGAAAGAUGGUGAACUAUGCUUGGAUAGGGUGAAGCCAGAGGAAACUCUGGUGGAGGCUCGCAGCGGUUCUGACGUGCAAAUCGAUCGUCAAAUCUGAGCAUGGGGGCGAAAGACUAAUCGAACCAU